AGAGCGAACGCUGGCGGCAGGCCUAACACAUGCAAGUCGAGCGCUCGUAGCAAUACGAGAGCGGCAGACGGGAGAGUAACACGUGGGAACGUACCCUUUGGUUCGGAACAACACAGGGAAACUUGUGCUAAUACCGAAUAAGCCCUUACGGGGAAAGAUUUAUCGCCAAAGGAUCGGCCCGCGUCUGAUUAGCUAGUUGGUGGGGUAAUGGCUCACCAAGGCGACGAUCAGUAGCUGGUCUGAGAGGAUGACCAGCCUCAUUGGGACUGAGACACGGCCCAAACUCCUACGGGAGGCAGCAGUGGGGAAUAUUGGACAAUGGGCGCAAGCCUGAUCCAGCCAUGCCGCGUGGAUGAUGAAGGCCUUAGGGUUGUAAAGUCCUUUUAACGGGGAAGAUAAUGACGGUACCCGUAGAAUAAGCCCGGCUAACUUCGUGCCAGCAGCCGC
Molecule: ribosomal RNA, 447 nt
Filed under: uncultured bacterium
Lineage: Bacteria
Description: SSU rRNA
Rfam family: Bacterial small subunit ribosomal RNA
Source: RNAcentral